This 85-nucleotide transfer RNA is filed under the name Desulfurella acetivorans. RNAcentral's name for it is "tRNA-Leu". It matches the Rfam family "tRNA". From Rfam's summary of the family: Transfer RNA (tRNA) molecules are approximately 80 nucleotides in length. Lineage: Bacteria; Pseudomonadati; Campylobacterota; Desulfurellia; Desulfurellales; Desulfurellaceae. RNAcentral also lists the same sequence under 3 other names. The record is from RNAcentral.
GCGAGCGUGGCGGAACUGGUAGACGCGCUAGACUUAGGAUCUAGUGCCGCAAGGUGUGGGAGUUCGAGUCUCCCCGCUCGCACCA